Molecule: ribosomal RNA, 497 nt
Filed under: uncultured bacterium
Lineage: Bacteria
Description: partial 16S ribosomal RNA
Rfam family: Bacterial small subunit ribosomal RNA
Source: RNAcentral
GAUGAACGCUGGCGGCGUGCCUAGUACAUGCAAGUCGAGCGAACGGACGAGAAGCUUGCUUCUCUGAUGUUAUCGGCGGACGGGUGAGUAACACGUGGAUAACCUACCUAUAAGACUGGGAUAACUUCGGGAAACCGGAGCUAAUACCGGAUAAUAUUUUGAACCGCAUGGUUCAAAAGUGAAAGACGGUCUUGCUGUCACUUAUAGAUGGAUCCGCGCUGCAUUAGCUAGUUGGUAAGGUAACGGCUUACCAAGGCAACGAUGCAUAGCCGACCUGAGAGGGUGAUCGGCCACACUGGAACUGAGACACGGUCCAGACUCCUACGGGAGGCAGCAGUAGGGAAUCUUCCGCAAUGGGCGAAAGCCUGACGGAGCAACGCCGCGUGAGUGAUGAAGGUCUUCGGAUCGUAAAACUCUGUUAUUAGGGAAGAACAUAUGUGUAAGUAACUGUGCACAUCUUGACGGUACCUAAUCAGAAAGCCACGGCUAACUACGUG